GGCAACCCUGACGGAGCAACGCCGCGUGGGGGAGGAAGGUCUGUGGAUUGUAAACUCCUUUUCUCUGUGAAGAAGAUCUGACGGUAGCAGAGGAAUCAGCAUCGGCUAACUCCGUGCCAGCAGCCGCGGUAAGACGGAGGAUGCAAGCGUUAUCCGGAAUUAUUGGGCGUAAAGCGUCCGCAGGUGGUAUUUCAAGUCUGCUGUCAAAGACCGAAGCUUAACUUCGGGCCGGCAGUGGAAACUGAAAAACUGGAGUACGGUAGGGGUAGAGGGAAUUUCCAGUGUAGCGGUGAAAUGCGUAGAGAUUGGAAAGAACACCAGUGGCGAAGGCGCUCUACUGGGCCGUAACUGACACUCAGGGACGAAAGCUAGGGGAGCG
This 379-nucleotide ribosomal RNA is filed under the name uncultured cyanobacterium. Its description in RNAcentral is "bacterial SSU rRNA". It matches the Rfam family "Bacterial small subunit ribosomal RNA", at positions 376 to 770 of the family's 1533-position model. Lineage: Bacteria; Bacillati; Cyanobacteriota. The record is from RNAcentral.